Molecule: ribosomal RNA, 253 nt
Filed under: uncultured bacterium
Lineage: Bacteria
Description: partial 16S ribosomal RNA
Rfam family: Bacterial small subunit ribosomal RNA
Source: RNAcentral
UACGUAGGGUGCAAGCGUUAAUCGGAAUUACUGGGCGUAAAGCGUGCGCAGGCGGUUCUAUAAGGCAGAUGUGAAAGCCCCGGGCUCAACCUGGGAGGUGCGCUUGAUACUCGAGGGCUUGAGUGCGGGAGAGGAGAGUGGAAUUCCCAGUGUAGAGGUGGAAUUCGUAGAUAUUGGGAAGAACACCGGUGGCAAAGGCGGCUCUCUGGACCGUAACUGACGCUGAGGCGCGAAAGCGUGGGGAGCAAACAGG